RNAcentral lists this long non-coding RNA (226 nucleotides) under Mytilus galloprovincialis (Mediterranean mussel). Lineage: Eukaryota; Metazoa; Mollusca; Bivalvia; Mytilida; Mytilidae. The record is from RNAcentral.
AGGCCACACCAAUUUGAUUCCUUGUUCGACGUACCCGCCCACACCUAUUUUUCUCAAAACAGAUUUUUUUUAUUUUUUUUAUAUUCCCGCUUCCCGCAUCCGGAAAUGUAAUCAUGUCCAUUUCCCGCACCGUUUUUUUUUUUUUGUAAAUAUUAUAAAAAGAUAUCAACAUUUGUUUUUAAAUCACAGUCUAACCUGCAUAUAACGAUUUUAAACAUAAAAGCAC